RNAcentral lists this ribosomal RNA (470 nucleotides) under uncultured bacterium. RNAcentral describes it as "bacterial SSU rRNA". It matches the Rfam family "Bacterial small subunit ribosomal RNA", at positions 335 to 799 of the family's 1533-position model. The record is from RNAcentral.
ACUCCUACGGGAGGCAGCAGUGGGAAUAUUGCACAAUGGGCGCAAGCCUGAUGCAGCCAUGCCGCGUGUGUGAAGAAGGCCUUCGGGUUGUAAAGCACUUUCAGUUGUGAGGAAGGUGGUGUCGUUAAUAGCGGCAUCAUUUGACGUUAGCAACAGAAGAAGCACCGGCUAACUCCGUGCCAGCAGCCGCGGUAAUACGGAGGGUGCGAGCGUUAUCCGGAUUCAUUGGGUUUAAAGGGUGCGUAGGCGGAAGUGUAAGUCAGGGGUGAAAGUUUGCAGCUCAACUGUAAAAUUGCCUUUGAUACUGCAUUUCUUGAGUACAUUUGAGGUAGGCGGAAUGUGUUGUGUAGCGGUGAAAUGCUUAGAUAUAACACAGAACACCGAUUGCGAAGGCAGCUUACUAAACUGUAACUGACGCUGAUGCACGAAAGCGUGGGGAUCGAACAGGAUUAGAUACCCUGUAGGCUCUG